AAAUUGUUAAAAAAAAAAAAAAAAGUUACAUAAAAAUGAUUGUUUAAUGAAGAGUUAUUGGAUUUGUUAUAUCUUUGUGACUCACGCGCAUUAAAUAUGUCAAAUGACGUUCGCAGAAAAAUACAUUACUUUAAGUCCCAGAAAAACAUAUAAAAAUUAUUCAUACGACGAUGUUGGAAUUAAACGAUUGCAGGAUUCUAUUCGAAAAUUAAACAAUAAAAUUCAAUUCAAUGUAAUUAAAAUCUAUGUGAGUACACCAUUAAAUCUAAAAUAUUUUCCUGUAAAUGAUUUUGAAUUUAAAUCUUUUGUGAAAAAUUUAGUUUUAAAGUAAAUGCAGCACUACUCACGAAAUACAUAUCAAUGUAGAUAAGACUCGAUAUUGAAAGUUUUUUUUUUCAAUAAAAUAACACUUAAAAUAAUAAUUAUUUUAAAUUAAGAAUCAAUUUAAACUUUAUAAAAUUAUAUCUCAUAAAUAUUUAAUAGCUAUUUUGCGUUUAGUAUAAAAUUAAAUAAACCCAGCACAAGGGGGUCGCGGCACAG
Molecule: long non-coding RNA, 540 nt
Organism: Daktulosphaira vitifoliae (grape phylloxera)
Lineage: Eukaryota; Metazoa; Arthropoda; Insecta; Hemiptera; Phylloxeridae
Exons: 3
Source: RefSeq, a predicted model, not a curated record